UACGUAGGGUGCAAGCGUUGUCCGGAAUUAUUGGGCGUAAAGCGUCCGUAGGUGGCUAGUCAAGUCUGCGGUCAAAGACUGGGGCUUAACCCUGGAAAGGCCGUGGAAACUGACGAGCUAGAGUGCAGUAGGGGUAGAGGGAAUUCCCGGUGUAGCGGUGAAAUGCGUAGAGCUCGGGAAGAACAUCGGUGGCGAAAGCGCUCUACUGGACUGCAACUGACACUCAGGGACGAAAGCUAGGGGAGCGAAUGGG
RNAcentral lists this ribosomal RNA (253 nucleotides) under uncultured bacterium. RNAcentral describes it as "partial 16S ribosomal RNA". It matches the Rfam family "Bacterial small subunit ribosomal RNA", at positions 524 to 776 of the family's 1533-position model. The record is from RNAcentral.